AAUUGCAGAAUCCCGUGAACCAUCGAGUUUUUGAACGCACGUUGCGCCCGAAGCCUUUUGGCCGAGGGCACGUCUGCCUGGGCGUCACGCAUCGUAGCCCCCCGCACCCAAACAAAAAAAACCAACACCAAUCCAUCUAUCGAAGCUGACUCGUGCUGACUCGUU
RNAcentral lists this ribosomal RNA (165 nucleotides) under Begonia lancangensis. RNAcentral describes it as "5.8S ribosomal RNA". The stretch from base 1 to 87 matches the Rfam family "5.8S ribosomal RNA", at positions 70 to 154 of the family's 154-position model. Rfam says of the family: 5.8S ribosomal RNA (5.8S rRNA) is a component of the large subunit of the eukaryotic ribosome. It is transcribed by RNA polymerase I as part of the 45S precursor that also contains 18S and 28S rRNA. Lineage: Eukaryota; Viridiplantae; Streptophyta; Magnoliopsida; Cucurbitales; Begoniaceae. The record is from RNAcentral.